RNAcentral lists this unclassified non-coding RNA (3012 nucleotides) under Hermetia illucens (black soldier fly). RNAcentral describes it as "pDZ domain-containing protein 8, transcript variant X1". Lineage: Eukaryota; Metazoa; Arthropoda; Insecta; Diptera; Stratiomyidae. The record is from RNAcentral.
UUCAAGACAUAGAAUUUCCAGUCCGCGGAAAAACUCUGCAAACUUUCAAUGGUUGACACGACAAAGGUAGCUCCUGCCGGUCAGGGAGUGAAAUCCUCUUCUAAUUGAUUGAAAUAAAUUGGGAUUAGCAUUAAAUUACCGCAAAGAGUGAAUAGUGAAAGUGUAAACCACAAUAAUUAGAUAAUGGCAUAGAAGCUGGAACUAGUGCAGUGUGGUGUGCGGUCAGUGGGUGGUUAGUGUCUGUUCAGUCAACCGUUGGCAUAGUAUUUACAUGUGCAGUGUCUGAGGCGAUUCGAUUGUGCGUUGCAUUAUUCGUAACAUAAUAUCGUAAAAUGAAUCUCACAACAUUUCUAUUGUUCGGGCUGAUGUCGCUUGUUAUUGGAGCCGUUCUCAUGAUCCUGCUCCAAUACUACUUCUUCAUCAAAUAUGGUAACCUACCGGAGGAGUCUAUGGAACAGCGGGAUAUUAAUGAAAGAUACAGCCUACCGGACAAUAUACUAAACAACAUAAAAUCAACGGAAACGGAGAGUAAGUCACCUAUUGUGGCCAUCAACCUGGUUAUGCAGUUUCUCUUUCAUGAGUUGAAGAACUCGAAUAAAGUGCGGAAAUGGUUUUAUCGGAAGCUGUCAUUGGAGUUGGACGAACUGAUUUCAAAAACAACAACUGGGAAGUUGUUUGAUAAACUAACCAUUCGUGAUUUAGAUUUGGGAGGUCAAUUUCCUGAAAUAAAAAACCUUCGAGUUCACAACGCUGAUCUACAUGACACAGAAGGUCAUAUUGAAAAUUUAGAUCUACUUUUAGAUUUACAAUAUCGCGGCAAUUUUCGACUAUCCAUCGAUGCAGACAUGGUGCUCGGUAAAAAAGGUUCACUAACACUAAAAGUGAAGUAUCUAUCGGGCCUUGCUCGUCUACAGUUUACUCGCAAACCCUACACGCACUGGUCACUAAGUUUCUUGGGAGAUCCACAAUUGGAGCUUGGAAUCGAAUCUCAAUUUCAGGGCAGGCAAAUGCAAUCGAAUGUUACAAACCUAAUUAUGAAUCAAAUUCGUAAAGCUGUUCGUCGAAAACAUACCCUUCCAAACUACAAAUUGCGCUAUAAACCAUUUUUCCAUAAGACAGAGGACGAUGUUGAUUGUGAGUUUAUUCCCAAUGGAAAACUAGAGGUGAACGUUUCUCAACUGUCGCGUCUUAUGAUUCCAUCAAACACUGAACUCCUUUAUUGCACCUUAACGCUAUCCUCAUUGCCAUGGGUUGAAGCCAGACAACGAGACGACAAAAACGUUAUCAUAUCAACCGACAAAGAAAUCCACAAGGCUAAGAACCAACAGAUUGGAAUUGUUUUCAAGCAGGCCGAUAACAUCGUUUCGAUUGAGGCCGUUUUGCCAAAUACCCCGGCUCUAAAAGCAGGACUGAGAAGAGGAGACGUCCUGAUUUCCAUCGAAGGGAAGCGCGUGAACAAUAUCAAUCAAGUAGCAAAAAUUGUAAAAAGUCUCAACAGACCCGUCCUAACUCUCAGAAUCGAACGCGUCCUUUCAGGGGUCAUAAAAAAUGACGCUAUAUAUGAAGACAACGAAGCAUAUGAAGACUUGGGUAAUUCAAAUGUGAGUUUCUCACGAUCAACGGAAUCAGUGCAACUUAUCGGAACGAAGCAAACCCGAAAAAACUCCACAGAUCGCGGUGGAACCUCUAGUGAAUCCAGCGUAGCCAAUACGCCAACCAACUCACCACGCAAGUCAAAAGGAAACAUAAAAUCAUCCUCAGUAAGUUUGAGCCGAGAAAAUAGUGAAAGUGCGGCACCUGACGAGCAAGGAUCGCUCAGUCGUCAAAGCGCUGCAGGGAAUCGCAAAACUAAUCAAACACCGAACGAAGUACCCAACGAAAUAGAAGUAAUACAACAACAUUCCACAAUCGACUUCCCAGUCGGGAGCUAUGUGAAAGUCGGAGAUUUAUGCACGUUCAAUUUGAGUGAGACCUCAAACUAUAUUAACUUGUGUGUCUAUGGAAGAUCCAAGGAUUUCAACGAGCUUCUGGGUUAUGUGAAUAUACCUGUUCGGAAUAUCAUAGCAGAAUGCAGUGAGACUAGCUUAGGACAUUACGUCAAGUCAUAUUCAUUCACCCCACCAACGACUCCGGAUUUGCAAAAUCACAUCCUCUCGGCACAAUCUGGUUUCGACCCCACUUUAUGCUAUGGCGAUAUUUUACUUUCAUUCGUAUGGAAUGGGAAUCCAACUGUGAUGGUUAACCCAAGUGAGACGGUACCAAAAAGGAGCAAAUCAAUGAGAAGUUCAACUGACAAACUCGAAGAAUCAGAUCGUGCUGAGCCAAGCGGUCCUAAAUCGCAUAAUUUUAUUCGAACCCACUUUCACCGAACCACCCAAUGCGACUAUUGUGGAAAGAAGAUUUGGCUAAAGGACGCUGUUCAGUGUCGAGACUGUUCGAUGUGCUGUCACAAAAAAUGCAUAACAAAAUGCCAAAAUUCUACCGUCUGUGGCCCUGUUGAUUGUUCCAGCAAUACAUCAUCAGGUUCAGGUACUGGAUCCACAAUAUCCACUUCUCAGCCAGAGUUCCGAGUGACCCAGGCGCCUCACAGUGACGAUGCAGAAUCUGAAGAUGGAGAUGAGGUGCAACCGAAACUGGAAGGACAUCGACAAAGCUUUAGUGAUCUCCUAGCACAAGGUCUGAAGCGAGUUAAUUCUGCCAACAACUUAGCUAUUCCAGGGAUAGUCUCGUCGCUGAGUCAAAACAGUCGCAGCCUGCCACCCAGUCCACAACACACCCCCAGGCGGAGGAUAUGAUGAGCUUAGCGAAGAGUUCGAGUAAAGGAUUGUAUGCCGAUUUGGAGCCAAACGAACGAGUCGAAAGGAUAAACAAAUUGCUUACUAAACUCCGUCUAGCACUAGAUAGUGAAACGCAUGCCCACUCAAAUCUUGUAGCUGGGCCAGAAAUCAGCAGCACAUCGAAAACCACUGAAACAUCGUCACCCAGGAAUGAAGCACCUAAAACGUCGAGUGA